Molecule: ribosomal RNA, 376 nt
Filed under: uncultured bacterium
Lineage: Bacteria
Description: bacterial SSU rRNA
Rfam family: Bacterial small subunit ribosomal RNA
Source: RNAcentral
UACGUAGGUGGCAAGCGUUGUCCGGAUUUAUUGGGCGUAAAGCGAGCGCAGGCGGUCUUUUAAGUCUGAUGUGAAAGCCCCCGGCUUAACCGGGGAGGGUCAUUGGAAACUGGGAGACUUGAGUGCAGAAGAGGAAAGCGGAAUUCCAUGUGUAGCGGUGAAAUGCGUAGAUAUAUGGAGGAACACCAGUGGCGAAGGCGGCUUUCUGGUCUGUAACUGACGCUGAGGCUCGAAAGCGUGGGGAGCAAACAGGAUUAGAUACCCUGGUAGUCCACGCCGUAAACGAUGAGUGAUAAGUGUUGGAGGGUGUCAGACCUUCAGUGCUGCAGCAAACGCAUUAAGCAAUCCGCCUGGGGAGUACGACCGCAAGGUUGAA